CCCAGCAUAACCAAACAUCAAAACGCAUGCUGCUGAAAGUGAUCCUGGUGGGUUUGGCCAUUCUUGGUCUCACUGUGACAGAGGGGAGCGCCAUGCCAGGCAGCAGCUCCAGUGAAGUAGAGGCCAGGGCUGAUCCCGAGACUGCUGAGCGUGCAGAGCAGACUAACGCCGAGGAGGCACGUAUCAGCGAGGGAUGCCUGGCUUCUCUGUGCGGGUAGUAAACUGAUGCAAGAAAGUGAGACGUCCGACAGUAGGGCGAAUGAUUCAU
Molecule: long non-coding RNA, 268 nt
Organism: Dermacentor andersoni
Lineage: Eukaryota; Metazoa; Arthropoda; Arachnida; Ixodida; Ixodidae
Source: RefSeq, a predicted model, not a curated record